UACAGAGAGUGCAAGCGUUAAUCGGAAUUACUGGGCGUAAAGCGCACGUAGGUGGAUAUUUAAGUCGAAUGUGAAAGCCCCGGGCUUAACCUGGGAAUGGCAUCCGAUACUGGGUAUCUAGAGUAUGGUAGAGGGAAGUGGAAUUUCCGGUGUAGCGGUGAAAUGCGUAGAUAUCGGAAAGAACACCAGUGGCGAAGGCGGCUUCCUGGACUAAUACUGACACUGAGGUGCGAAAGCGUGGGGAGCAAAC
RNAcentral lists this ribosomal RNA (250 nucleotides) under uncultured bacterium. Its description in RNAcentral is "partial 16S ribosomal RNA". It matches the Rfam family "Bacterial small subunit ribosomal RNA", at positions 524 to 773 of the family's 1533-position model. The record is from RNAcentral.